Long non-coding RNA from Vigna radiata var. radiata (mung bean), 2741 nucleotides. RefSeq lists it as uncharacterized. NCBI's taxonomy places the organism in Eukaryota, Viridiplantae, Streptophyta, Magnoliopsida, Fabales, Fabaceae. The transcript has 8 exons. The record is from RefSeq and is a predicted model, not a curated record.
UACAACAAACGCUUUUUACGAUGAGCUUAUCUAUGAGCUCUUUAAAAAAAAAUUAACUUCCCUCAUUCUCUUUUGUUUCGUUGUUCGACUUUGUCUUUGUGCCUUUCCUUCAAAUUCGUUCAUCCUGAAAGAGUCGUUUCAUCACCGUACUUCUUACGGCAUUGCCUCAAGAAUUGGAUGUAGUGCUCCAUUCUGGGUUCAGGUAUCCAUGUUCCUUUUUUCCCUCCUUCUCUUCUCUAUUUCUUCUCCUUUUCGAAAACCCUAGCCUAAGGGAACAAGGUCAUGAGAGUGCGAGUGGCCUGAGGGAGAGCAUCUAAUGCUCUGAGGAGAAAUAGGUAGGAGCGAUUCAUGAGAGCAAGGUUUAAUUCUGAGUGGUUAUUUAAGAUCUUUAAAAUUGCGGGUAUUAUGUUUGUAUGGUCAGAACGCCAUUGCAAUAAUUCAUUGCCCCGAGAUGGAGUGCUCCCACAGUGGAUAGAAGAAUUCUUGGGCAUACAGUUUGGGGGAGGCCUUUCUCAAGGUUAAAAGCAUGUAUGCGGAAGAAUAUUAGUACUGGAUUUGUAUCAAUCCUCUUCCAGGAAAUGGAAAAAUAUGGAAUUGAGGGGAGUCGACUUCAACUACUAAGAGAUGUUAGUGGUGCUUUCAGGCCCAAAGUACUAACAACAUUAGUAGGUGUAACUGGUGCUAGGAAAACCACAUUGAUGGAUGUUCUAGCUAGAAGAAAAACUAGUGGUUAUAUUGAAGGAAGCAUCAACAUAUCUGGUUACCCAAAAAAAGCAAGCAACUUUUGCUCGGAUUAGUGGUUAUUGUGAACAAAAUGAUAUUCACUCUCCAAAUAUCACAGUGCAUGAACCUGUUAUGUUUUCUGCUUGGUUGGCAAGGAGGUCAACAGUAAAACAAGGAAGGCCUUACCUAUAAGAAACUCAAUUGUAUUAUCUACGAUACAUCAGACAUAUAGAGUUGGUUUUUUGAAGGAUGUUGUUUUGGCUAGAGUUUUGGAUGAUGCUACUGUUGCUAAUCUUAACUCCAUAGUACAUGCAGACAAUGCCAUUGAUGACAACACAUUUAUCAGGAAUUGUUUGCUAGGUUACAAUCACCCACCACUUCUCUUGAAUCAAAGAAAAAUAUGGUUCCACCCCACUGACGAAAAACUUGUUGCUUAUUACCUUAAAAGGAAGAUCAAUAGUCGAAAGAUGGAGUUGGAAACCAUUCCAGAAAUUGAUCUCUACAAGUGUGAACCAUAGGACUUACCAGGAUACAAUUCAUACUAGGAGCAAGAAAAAUCAGCAACCUCUUCUUGAAGGCUUGAGUGAAACUUGAAGGAGAGGGAAGAAAGUUCGAAGAUCAUCUAGAUAUUAUUCCCUUCUCUUGAGAGAUUGUUGCAACCCUCACCAGAAGCAUCUAACUAGAGCACAUAAGAGAUGGUUGAGGAGGAGGGCCCUAGGAGACGCACUCUGGCGGGUGCUACCAAUGUGGUUGGCGCUCAACACUUUAACAGUAUUGCAAGGCUAAGGGUCAGUGCUUUGAACAUGGAAGUUAAAUUGGCGUUGAUUCACUUGGUGCAAAACAACCAGUUUAAUGGGCUAUCACAUGAAAGCCCAUAUGAUCAUCUCACCACAUUCAAUGAGAUAUGCAACACGGUGAAGAUCAAUGGAGUGGCGGAUGAAACAAUUAAACUUAACUUAUUUCCUUUCUCAUUGGGUGGCAAUACUAAACUUUGGUUAAAUUCUUUCCUGAAAGACAGCUUUACAACCUGGGAGGUUGUGGUGGCAGAACUUCUGAACAAAUAUUUUCCACAGUCUAAAAUCAACAAGGUAAAAUGAAGAUUUCUUCUUUCAGGAAAGGCAUGAAGGAAACCCUAGGCCAAACAUGAGACAAAUUUAAAAGCUUGUUGAGAAAGGGACUUGUGCAUGGUUUUGAUGAUACAAUUGUAGUUCUCACGUUCCUUUGAGGUCUUGGCACCCAGUCAAAGCUUAUGCUAGAUGCCACAGUUGGAGGCAAUAUCAAAUGCAAGACCGCGGAAGAAGCUUAUGAGUUGUGAUAACGGUCUAAAAACCAUUAUUUUUACACUUUAAUUUGAUAUCAAAUCACACCCUUUAUGGCUUAGAAUGAGCUUAGAAUCAUGCAAAACUCUUAGUUUAGUCAUAAAAUAGUCAAAAGAGGUUUUUAGAGAUAUUAUGCUUGUUUUACAUUGUUUUUGUAGGAUUUGAUGAGAAUUGAAAGAUGGAAGAGAAUAAGGGAGGACUUAGACUCAAGAAAGGAUGAGAAAUGAAGCAAAAGAUGAGUGAGGUCCACCGCGCCAGCUUCGAGGAGGAAGACACUAUUUCUCGCCUGAGCGGCGAUGCUGAGCGUCCUGCGACUUUGGGGUCCAGCGUUGAGCAUCAGUUUCCACCGCUGAGUGCCCUACGAUUAUGAGGGCCACUGCUGAGCGGUCAAAUGGGCGCGGAGCGCCUAAAUGAUGGGCCUGGGCUGAAAUUCUGUUACUUUUUUGUGUUAUAAAUAGCCCCAGUGUGAUCCUCAGAGUAAUCUUUUGGCAAAGGAAGACUUAAGAGCACCUUCUACACUUCUUGGAAGCGGUUUCUUGGAUGCUUAGGCUUCAAUUUAUCAAAUCUAGGGUUUACUCUUUCAUCUUUUCCAUUAAUUCCAUGUAGUUUCACCACGUUCAUGGUGAGCUAAUCCCUUUGUUGUUGGGGAACAAUGUAGUCCUUUUGAAACUCUCUUGUAUCAAAUUUCUUAUUAUAUUC